Molecule: long non-coding RNA, 571 nt
Organism: Alligator sinensis (Chinese alligator)
Lineage: Eukaryota; Metazoa; Chordata; Crocodylia; Alligatoridae
Exons: 5
Source: RefSeq, a predicted model, not a curated record
CGGAAGCAGGCGUCUCGCUGAGGCUGGGGGUUCCCAUAGCAACGAGUCCUUCCCCGGGUGAGAGCGGUCGGGGCCGGGCAGGGGAUUUGCCGCCGGGGGAGACCAUGUGUGUCACACGUGGGAGUCGGACCAUGCUGAUAUUCGCGGGGUUGCCGUGGAGGGCUUGCAGCUCUCCAGAGGUAGGAAUCAGAACUACACAGCUGCAUAUCAUAGGCCUUGUACUGCUACAAGGGUUAAUUGUCUGCCACAAGCUGUUUGAGACCCUGUGAUGCAAGGUGGUGUGAGCUGUCUUGUAAUUCAUCGGCUUCCAAGACGUAUACUUCUGAACCUGGUUUAAAGGUUACCAAGCCCUGCUGUGAACAGGGGAAGAGUAAAAGUGGUGUGCUGCUCCCUCCUCUCCCCCCUGCCCUCCAUAGUUAGAGUAUCAUUCCUUGUGCCAGACAAGUUGCAGUUGGCAGGUGAUUAAAAAGCAAGGGAGGAGGUGUCUAAAGUUGCAAACGUCCCAGCAUCGUGGCGAGUCCUGGCUCUGCGGCUUCCGGCAGUCGUCAUCUCUGAGGAAGGGUUCCAGUUG